AGAUCCAGCCAUGCCGCGUGCAGGAUGAAGGCCCUCGGGUUGUAAACUGCUUUUGUACGGAACGAAAAAGCUCUGGUUAAUACCUGGAGUCCAUGACGGUACUGUAAGAAUAAGCACCGGCUAACUACGUGCCAGCAGCCGCGGUAAUACGUAGGGUGCAAGCGUUAAUCGGAAUUACUGGGCGUAAAGCGUGCGCAGGCGGUGAUGUAAGACAGUUGUGAAAUCCCCGGGCUCAACCUGGGAACUGCAUUUGUGACUGCAUCGCUGGAGUUUGGCAGAGGGA
Molecule: ribosomal RNA, 283 nt
Filed under: uncultured bacterium
Lineage: Bacteria
Description: partial 16S ribosomal RNA
Rfam family: Bacterial small subunit ribosomal RNA
Source: RNAcentral